RNAcentral lists this ribosomal RNA (253 nucleotides) under uncultured bacterium. Its description in RNAcentral is "partial 16S ribosomal RNA". It matches the Rfam family "Bacterial small subunit ribosomal RNA", at positions 524 to 776 of the family's 1533-position model. The record is from RNAcentral.
UACGGAGGAUGCGAGCGUUAUCAGGAUUUACUGGGUUUAAAGGGUGCGUAGGCGGCUCUGUAAGUCAGUGGUGAAAUCCCGAAGCUUAACUUCGGAACUGCCAUUGAUACUGCAUUGCUGGAGUACAGUUGAGGUAGGCGGAAUAUGUCAUGUAGUGGUGAAAUACUUAGAUAUGACAUAGAACGCCGAUUGCGAAGGCAGCUUGCUAAACUGUAACUGACGCUGAGGCACGAAAGCGUGGGGAGCAAACAGG